UACGUAGGGUGCGAGCGUUAAUCGGAAUUACUGGGCGUAAAGCGCACGUAGGCGGUUUUUUAAGUCAGAUGUGAAAUCCCCGGGCUCAACCUGGGAACUGCUUUCAAAACUGCUGAGCUAGAGUACGGUAGAGGGUGGUGGAAUUUCCUGUGUAGCGGUGAAAUGCGUAGAUAUAGGAAGGAACACCAGUGGCGAAGGCGACCACCUGGACUGAUACUGACGCUCAUGCACGAAAGCGUGGGGAGCAAACAGG
RNAcentral lists this ribosomal RNA (253 nucleotides) under uncultured bacterium. Its description in RNAcentral is "partial 16S ribosomal RNA". It matches the Rfam family "Bacterial small subunit ribosomal RNA", at positions 524 to 776 of the family's 1533-position model. The record is from RNAcentral.